RNAcentral lists this ribosomal RNA (1324 nucleotides) under metagenome. Its description in RNAcentral is "bacterial LSU rRNA". It matches the Rfam family "Bacterial large subunit ribosomal RNA", at positions 1561 to 2925 of the family's 2925-position model. The record is from RNAcentral.
AGUGGAUGGGGAGCAACCUAGUUGUGCGUGUGUAAAGGUAGUGCCAAGAAAAGCGGUGAUCAUGAUGAAAAUCAAUUCCCGGUACCCGAAACCGACACAGGUGGGCAAGUAGAGAAUACUAAGGGGCGCGAGGUAACUUUCUCCAAGGAACUCGGCAAAAUGACCCCGUAACUUAGGGAGAAGGGGUGCCACCGAGAGGUGGUCGCAGUGAAGAGGCCCAGGCGACUGUUUAGCAAAAACAUAGGUCUCUGCAAACUCGAAAGAGGAGGUAUAGGGGCUGACGCCUGCCCAGUGCCGGAAGGUUAAAGAAGUUGGUCAGUCUUAGGAUAAAGCUAGCGACUGAAGCCCCGGUGAACGGCGGCCGUAACUAUAACGGUCCUAAGGUAGCGAAAUUCCUUGUCGGGUAAGUUCCGACCCGCACGAAAGGCGUAACGAUCUGGGCGCUGUCUCGGAGAGAGGCUCGGCGAAAUAGGAUUGUCUGUGAAGAUACGGACUACCUGCAUUUGGACAGAAAGACCCUAUGAAGCUUUACUAUAGCUUGGAAUUGUGUUCGGGCUUCCUGUGCGCAGGAUAGGUGGGAGGCAAGAAGGUAUUCUUGUGGGGAUACUGGAGCCAACGGUGAGAUACCACUCUCAGGAGGCUAGAAUUCUAACUUAAUUAAGGACAGUUUCAGGUGGGUAGUUUGACUGGGGCGGUCGCCUCCAAAAAGGUAACGGAGGCGUACAAAGGUUCCCUCAGACUGGUUGGAAAUCAGUCGCAGAGUGCAAAGGCAGAAGGGAGCUUGACUGCGAGAAGUACAGUUCGAGCAGGGUGGAAACACGGUCUUAGUGAUCCGACGGUGCUGUGUGGAAGGGCCGUCGCUCAACGGAUAAAAGUUACUCUAGGAUAACAGGCUGAUCUCCCCCAAGAGUUCACAUCGACGGGGAGGUUUGGCACCUCGAUGUCGGCUCAUCGCGACCUGGGGCGGAAGUACGUCCCAAGGGUUGGGCUGUUCGCCCAUUAAAGCGGUACGUGAGCUGGGUUCAGAACGUCGUGAGACAGUUCGGUCCAUAUCCGAUGUAGGCGUGAGAAUAUUGAGAGGAGCCUUCCUUAGUACGAGAGGACCGGGAAGGACGCACCGCUGGUGUACCUGUUAUGAUGCCAAUUGUAAACGCAGGGUAGCCAAGUGCGGAGAGGAUAACCGCUGAAAGCAUCUAAGUGGGAAGCCCACCUCAAGAUGAGUAUUCUGGUGUAAGGUCACGGGAAGACGACCCGUAAAUAGGCACGAGGUGGAAGUGCAGAGAUGUAUGAAGCCGAAGUGUACUAAUAGACCGUCGGCUUGACC